Molecule: transfer RNA, 75 nt
Filed under: Cronobacter malonaticus
Lineage: Bacteria; Pseudomonadati; Pseudomonadota; Gammaproteobacteria; Enterobacterales; Enterobacteriaceae
Also listed under: 1 other name
Description: tRNA-Val
Rfam family: tRNA
About the family: Transfer RNA (tRNA) molecules are approximately 80 nucleotides in length. Their secondary structure includes four short double-helical elements and three loops (D, anti-codon, and T loops).
Source: RNAcentral
GGGUGAUUACUCAGCUGGGAGAGCACCUCCCUUACAAGGAGGGGGUCGGCGGUUCGAUCCCGUCAUCACCCACCA